This 1442-nucleotide unclassified non-coding RNA is filed under the name Hevea brasiliensis (rubber tree). The record is from RNAcentral. Lineage: Eukaryota; Viridiplantae; Streptophyta; Magnoliopsida; Malpighiales; Euphorbiaceae.
ACAUGUCUUCAGCUACAGGACCUGUUACAAAUGAAUCAUGGAUCCAGAGGCUAGUUAACUCAAAACUAUGAUGACAUAAAGUUGCAUACAUAGUGAGAUGAUUGGAAGCAGGACGGAUUUAGCGUGGACAAAUCCUCUUCCCUACCCAAAUAAUAUAAGGGAAUGGUUAAUUCAAGGUUGCACCCCAUGGAAAUUUAUUAGCCACUUGUAUAAUUAGAAAAACUUCCCAACUCCAAAUCCAAACAUGACAUAAGAUUGGAUGUAGCAUGAGAACUGAAAAGCCAUUUUCAGGACAUAUCCUUAUCUGGUUAGAAGAAUAAAAAAUUAUUUAAACAAAAAUUGAAUACAAUGUUUUACCACACGGGUUCCUAUCUGAUCAGAAGAAUUAAAUAUUUAAACAUGAAUCAUCGAUAGAGUCAAUGUGUUACCACAUGACCAAUUGGCCACAGCCCAGAGCUCCAUGCAUAUGGUAAAAAAUGAAGUGAGACCACUGCAUAUAAUUUACUAUGUUGGUAUAAUACCUUACAGAACUUCGAAGAACUUAAAAGUAGGUUGAAAAAUGUCAUUUCAAACAUGAAAUUCAUUUUAAAAAUAAAUAGAAGCAUUUCUUGGCAAAACAUGAAGCACAACUGUACAAUAACACCUCUAAAAAGAACUCAACAAAAUUCGACAAAAAGUAACUGAGAAAAUGAUACUUGAAACUUGAAACUUGAAAAUAUAAUUUGAGAUAUAAACGGGUAUCUUCUACACGUCAUAAUCAUAAAAAAUGAACAAUACUUACAACUUACAAGCAAUAUUUUAUGAAAAAACAUUGUAUAUUCAAGAAAAACAUGAGAAAAAGUGGAAAACAGCAUUUCAAAUUUGAAAACACAUUACUUCCAAAAUUUUGAAGAACUCCAUCAAGAUUGUAAACCCUGAAAAGCCAUUUGUGAAAUAUAUCAGAUAAAGGAACAACAGCAACUUGAAUAGAAGAGUACAUGCAGUAGUGGAGAAAGACAACCAUGAAUAACAAAAAGAAAAAAAAAAUACACUAAAUCAUAUUAUAGAGACUAGCACGAAAUAGUGAAAAAUCAUAAUACAACAUAAAAUAGCUAGCUCACCACAGGACCAAAGAAGAAGAAAAUAAAAGAAGAAACUCAACGCGUCAAAAGAAAGCAAUAAAAACCGGAGCCUUUUUUUUUUCCUGUACUCCUGUCCAACGAGGAGCACUGUGUCUCAAAGCUAUAAUCUCUAUGCAAACCCCCAAACCCCAAUUAACAACCACCAGAGCCACAGAGCCAGGCUGAGAUAGCAGUGCCAACAGCAAAUUUAUCAAUAAAUACUGAAAUUCACCAGAAGGAUGCAAUUAGACUAUGAAGGGCAAAAUCAGAAUAAGCGAUGAUAACUGAAAUCUAAAUACUAUCAACAAGGACUCUAAUAAGAAAUGAAUCAUCUGAGACAAA